This 518-nucleotide ribosomal RNA is filed under the name Clostridioides difficile. RNAcentral describes it as "bacterial LSU rRNA". It matches the Rfam family "Bacterial large subunit ribosomal RNA", at positions 1781 to 2297 of the family's 2925-position model. The record is from RNAcentral. Lineage: Bacteria; Bacillati; Bacillota; Clostridia; Peptostreptococcales; Peptostreptococcaceae.
AGAGAAUAGGCCCAAGCGACUGUUUACCAAAAACAUAGGUCUCUGCUAAGGCGAAAGGCGAUGUAUAGGAGCGGACGCCUGCCCGUGGCUGGAAGGUUAAGGGGAUCUGUUAGGGCAAUCGAGGCAGUGAACUUAAGCCCCAGUAAACGGCGGCUGUGACGAGAACGGUCCUAGGGUAGCGAAAUUCCUGGUCGGGUAAGUUCCGACCCGAACGAAAGGCGUAACGAUUUGGGCACUGUCUCAACAACAGACUCGGUGAAAUUGUAAUUCCGGUGAAGAUGCCGGAUACCUGCGACAGGACGGAAAGACCCCAUGGAGCUUUACUGUAGCUUGACAUUGGGUCUUGGUACUACAUGUACAGGAUAGGUGGGAGGCUUUGAAACCAGGACGCCAGUUUUGGCGGAGCCAUCCUUGGGAUACCACCCUUGUAGUACUGGGACUCUAACCAUAGGCCAUGAAUCUGGUCUUGGGACACUGUCAGGUGGGCAGUUUGACUGGGGCGGUCGCCUCCCAAAAGG